AGCUUUGCACAGUGGCAGUAUCAUAGCCAGUGAGGUUUAUCCAAGGCGCGAUUAUUGCUAAUUGAAAACUUUUCCCAAUACCCCGCCAUGAUGACUUGAAAUAUAGUCGGCAUUGGCAAUUUUUGGCAGUCCCUAUGGGGA
This is a small nuclear RNA of Callithrix jacchus (white-tufted-ear marmoset), 141 nucleotides long. Its record names the gene U4. It matches the Rfam family "U4 spliceosomal RNA". From Rfam's summary of the family: U4 small nuclear RNA (U4 snRNA) is a component of the major U2-dependent spliceosome. The structure of U4 snRNA from yeast and human has been reported. U4 snRNA presents a k-turn RNA motif in the 5p-SL related to recognition of Snu13 protein. NCBI's taxonomy places the organism in Eukaryota, Metazoa, Chordata, Mammalia, Primates, Cebidae. The record is from Ensembl.